UACGAAGGGGGCUAGCGUUGCUCGGAAUUACUGGGCGUAAAGGGCGCGUAGGCGGCACUGUUAGUCAGGCGUGAAAGUCCUGGGCUCAACCUGGGAACUGCGCUUGAUACGGCAGAGCUAGAGGAUGGAAGGGGGUCGCGGAAUUCCCAGUGUAGAGGUGAAAUUCGUAGAUAUUGGGUGGAACACCGGUGGCGAAAGCGGCUCUCUGGCCCGGAUCUGACGCUGAGGCGCGAAAGCGUGGGGAGCAAACAGG
RNAcentral lists this ribosomal RNA (253 nucleotides) under uncultured bacterium. RNAcentral describes it as "partial 16S ribosomal RNA". It matches the Rfam family "Bacterial small subunit ribosomal RNA", at positions 524 to 776 of the family's 1533-position model. The record is from RNAcentral.